This 402-nucleotide unclassified non-coding RNA is filed under the name soil metagenome. Its description in RNAcentral is "partial contains 5.8S ribosomal RNA, internal transcribed spacer 2, and large subunit ribosomal RNA". The stretch from base 1 to 120 matches the Rfam family "5.8S ribosomal RNA", at positions 35 to 154 of the family's 154-position model. The record is from RNAcentral.
GAUGAAGAACGCAGCGAAUUGCGAUAUGUAAUGUGAAUUGCAGAAUUCAGUGAAUCAUCGAAUCUUUGAACGCACCUUGCACCCUCUGGUAUUCCGGAGGGUAUGCCUGUUUGAGUGUCAUUAACAUCUCAACGCUUGAUGGGUUCUUGUAACCCGUUCAGUGGUUGGACUUUGAAGGUUGCCGGUGUCAAAGCCAGCUCCUUUUAAAUGCAUGAGCAAGGACUAUUCCGAAUCGGCUUCGGUUUGAUAAAUUUGACUUAUCUGAUGCCGUCGCUGAGGAACUAUGGUCGACCUGCUUCUAAUUGUCUUCGGACUGUCUCCUUGUGAGGCAACUAUAUUGACUCUUGACCUCAAAUCAGGUAGGACUACCCGCUGAACUUAAGCAUAUCAAUAAGCGGAGGA